RNAcentral lists this ribosomal RNA (870 nucleotides) under Triticum aestivum (bread wheat). RNAcentral's name for it is "partial small subunit ribosomal RNA". Lineage: Eukaryota; Viridiplantae; Streptophyta; Magnoliopsida; Poales; Poaceae. The record is from RNAcentral.
AUGAAUAUUGCCCUCCUAUCCCGCUGGCUCUGGCGCAUUUUUCAAGGGCAUGACGGCCUUUGGUUAGACAUCAUCCGGAUCAAGUACCUGUGUGGGCAACCCCUGACCUUCUGUCAAAGGUCCGGCGGUUCCCAGUUCUGGCAGUCAGUCAGCCAACUCCUCCCUGUCCUCCGCAUUGGGACUUCUAUCUCGGUCGGAUCGGGAGCUGCGACUUUGUUCUGGUUUGACCGGUGGGUGGGAGAUACCCCCUUCGCUGCUUGCUUCCCGCUCUUCUCUGUCAUCGUCAACCCUUCGAUCUUAGUUGAGAGGGCCCUUAUUGACUUAGGGCGCCUUGCUUUCCGGAGGUCAUUUGGGCCUCCGGAAGCUGCCGCCUGGCAGGAGCUGCUUGAUUGCGUCGCUCUCCACGAGCCGGUAGUGGAUGCUGGCCCGAAUGAGGUUCGGUGGUGUCUUGAGCCAUCAGGUCAAUUCUCCACCAAGUUCCUCUAUCAGGCCAUUGCCCCCUCCACCGCCUCCCCCCUCCCGGCCAUGUGGUCCAUCUGCAUGCCAUUGAAAAUUUGGAUCUUCAUGUGGCAAUGGAUCCACGGAUGGAUCCCAUCCGGGGUGGAGGUUCGCAAGCGCAACGGCCCUAGUACCGGCCUUUGCCCGCUAUAUGGUACCCCCGAAGAUUCGAAUCACAUCUUCUUAUCUUGUGUGUCCGCUCAAUUCGUGUGGAGCUGCUUUAAAGAGGUGGUGGGUGGUAAUUGGUGCUACACCAACUUCCCCGACCUAUUCGCCGAACUCCAGAACUCCCCCUGCCCUCUCGCCACAUUAGGUGGCUUGAGAUUGGGGCACUCGCUUGGACCCUCUGGACGAUCCGCAAUAAACUUGUGA